Neopsephotus bourkii (Bourke's parrot) is the source of this 763-nucleotide long non-coding RNA. RefSeq lists it as uncharacterized. The record is from RefSeq and is a predicted model, not a curated record. The transcript has 3 exons. NCBI's taxonomy places the organism in Eukaryota, Metazoa, Chordata, Aves, Psittaciformes, Psittacidae.
UUCCAGCCCUCCUGCUUGAAGACACCUGACCAUGUUUCUGGCACAUGCAACAAGCACAUAGGGAGACCGGUGCUCUACGCUGAGACUAGGUAGUUAUGGUACACAGAUAGAUGAGCUGCUCAAAUGCUCCCAGAGGUUUCCUGCAGAUGUUUUGCUAAUGUCUGACCUGCUGCCUGGGUUCAGAUGGGAGGAAAUGGUUGCAAACGCAGGUGGUGGUUGCUGAAUCAGCCUUCCUUGGACUUAGAUCAUGAGAGGAAAUGUUCAGCUCUUCCAGCAAAUCUAUGCCCAGGUGUCCUUCUGCAGUAGAGAACCAUUAAUUGCUCAACUAGGGAGGUGUUAAUUGCUAUGUUGUUACAGCUGCAGCUGACUAUUUCAGCCUGUAGUCAAACUGUCCCAUGGUGCCUUCUGCCCCUAAGAAGGCUUUUAGGGUCUAUGCAGCUUGUUACAAUGCAGAAACUUUUUCCAUGGCAAAAAAAAAUCCAUCACAACUACCAGCAGGACAGAAAGGAAGUGAAUGCCCAUUUAGGUUUGCUGAUUUGGUUUGGCAUGAGGCAGUUAGCCACCCAGAAGAAAACACAGAUGAACACAGUAAUUGUUCCAUGCAAGCAGCAGAGAACAGAUGUCAGCCAACUGUCCCAGCUGAGGAACCCAACAGUGCUAUUUCCAGAUCCAGAAGGAAAUGAGAAACUUUACUUUGGAAUUAUAAAUUCAAGGGACUUGAUAUAGAGAGAAUGAUUACCUGCUAUGUUGAACAAAAAUACUA